Molecule: ribosomal RNA, 468 nt
Filed under: uncultured bacterium
Lineage: Bacteria
Description: partial 16S ribosomal RNA
Rfam family: Bacterial small subunit ribosomal RNA
Source: RNAcentral
GACGAACGCUGGCGGCGUGCUUAACACAUGCAAGUCGAACGGAAAGGCCCUGCUUUUGUGGGGUGCUCGAGUGGCGAACGGGUGAGUAACACGUGAGUAACCUGCCCUUGACUUUGGGAUAACUUCAGGAAACUGGGGCUAAUACCGGAUAGGAGCUCCUGCUGCAUGGUGGGGGUUGGAAAGUUUCGGCGGUUGGGGAUGGACUCGCGGCUUAUCAGCUUGUUGGUGGGGUAGUGGCUUAACAAGGGUUUGACGGGUAGCCGGCCUGAGAGGGUGACCGGCCACAUUGGGACUGAGAUACGGACCAGACUCCUACGGUAGGCAGCAGUGGGGAAUAUUGCACAAUGGGCGGAAGCCUGAUGCAGCAACGCCGCGUGCGGGAUGACGGCCUUCUGGUUGUAAACCGCUUUCGCCUGUGACGAAGCGUGAGUGACGGUAAUGGGUAAAGAAGCACCGGCUAACUACGUG